AAAAGACUUAGUCCUAACCUUACCAUUAAUUCUUGCUAGACAUAUACAUGCAAGUAUCCGCGCUCCAGUGUAAAUGCCCUCAAUCCCUACCCCUUAGGUAAGAGGAGCUGGCAUCAGGCACGCCCGUUGCAGCCCAAGACGCCUUGCUUAGCCACACCCCCACGGGUACUCAGCAGUAAUUAACAUUAAGCCAUAAGUGUAAACUUGACUCAGUCAUAGCAAACCAGGGUUGGUAAAUCUUGUGCCAGCCACCGCGGUCACACAAGAGACCCAAAUUAAUCGUACACGGCGUAAAGAGUGGACCCAUUACUAUCACACCAAUUAAGGUCAAAACGUAACUGAGCUGUCAUAAGCUUAAGAUACAUUUAAAGCCGCCCUAAAGAUGACCUUAACACUCACGAUCAAAUAAAUUCCACGAAAGCCAGGACACAAACUGGGAUUAGAUACCCCACUAUGCCUAGCCCUAAAUCUCGAUGCUUACCCUACUAAAGCAUCCGCCCGAGGACUACGAGCACAAACGCUUAAAACUCUAAGGACUUGGCGGUGCCCCAAACCCACCUAGAGGAGCCUGUUCUAUAAUCGACAACCCACGAUACACCCGACCACUUCUUGCCUAACCAGCCUACAUACCGCCGUCGCCAGCCCACCUCCCCUGAGAGCUCAACAGUGAGCACAAUCGCCCUAACCCCGCUAAUAAGACAGGUCAAGGUAUAGCCCAUGAAGUGGAAGAAAUGGGCUACAUUUUCUAACCUAGAAAACCAAACGGAAAGGGGUAUGAAACAACCCCUAGAAGGCGGAUUUAGCAGUAAAGGAGAAUAAUAAAGUCCCCUUUAAACCGGCUCUGAGGCACGUACAUACCGCCCGUCACCCUCCUCACAAGCCCCAAAUCUCUAUAAAUAAUGCACCCUCCCGCUAAAGAUGAGGUAAGUCGUAACAAGGUAAGUGUACCGGAAGGUGCACUUAGCACAC
This 969-nucleotide non-coding RNA is filed under the name Turtur tympanistria. Its description in RNAcentral is "12S ribosomal RNA". It matches the Rfam family "Bacterial small subunit ribosomal RNA". Lineage: Eukaryota; Metazoa; Chordata; Aves; Columbiformes; Columbidae. The record is from RNAcentral.